UACGUAGGGAGCAAGCGUUGUCCGGAAUCAUUGGGCGUAAAGCGCGCGUAGGCGGCCCUGUAAGUCCGUUGUGAAAGUCAAAGGCUCAACCUUUGAAAGCCGAUGGAUACUGCAGGGCUAGAGUCCGGAAGAGGCGAGUGGAAUUCCUGGUGUAGCGGUGGAAUGCGCAGAUAUCAGGAGGAACACCCGUGGCGAAAGCGGCUCUCUGGGACGGUACUGACGCUGAGACGCGAAAGCGUGGGGAGCAAACAGG
RNAcentral lists this ribosomal RNA (253 nucleotides) under uncultured bacterium. RNAcentral describes it as "partial 16S ribosomal RNA". It matches the Rfam family "Bacterial small subunit ribosomal RNA", at positions 524 to 776 of the family's 1533-position model. The record is from RNAcentral.